GAGCUGUGGAGCAGGAGCAGG
Molecule: unclassified non-coding RNA, 21 nt
Filed under: Chlamydomonas reinhardtii
Lineage: Eukaryota; Viridiplantae; Chlorophyta; Chlorophyceae; Chlamydomonadales; Chlamydomonadaceae
Description: small RNA Cre_1599
Source: RNAcentral